GAUGAACGCUGGCGGCGUGCCUAAUACAUGCAAGUCGAGCGAACAGACGAGGAGCUUGCUCCCCUAACGUUAGCGGCGGACGGGGGAGUAACACGUGGAUAACCUACCUAUAAGACUGGGAUACCUCCGGGAAACCGGAGCUAAUACCGGAUAAUAUAUUGAACCGCAUGGUUCAAUAGUGAAAGACGGUUUUGCUGUCCCUUAUAGAUGGAUCCGCGCCGCAUUAGCUAGUUGGUAAGGUAACGGCUUACCAAGGCAACGAUGCGUAGCCGACCUGAGAGGGUGAUCGGCCACACUGGAACUGAGACACGGUCCAGACUCCUACGGGAGGCAGCAGUAGGGAAUCUUCCGCAAUGGGCGAAAGCCUGACGGAGCAACGCCGCGUGAGUGAUGAAGGUCUUCGGAUCGUAAAACUCUGUUAUUAGGGAAGAACAAAUGUGUAAGUAACUAUGCACGUCUUGACGGUACCUAAUCAGAAAGCCACGGCUAACUACGUG
RNAcentral lists this ribosomal RNA (497 nucleotides) under uncultured bacterium. Its description in RNAcentral is "partial 16S ribosomal RNA". It matches the Rfam family "Bacterial small subunit ribosomal RNA", at positions 28 to 507 of the family's 1533-position model. The record is from RNAcentral.